RNAcentral lists this ribosomal RNA (292 nucleotides) under uncultured bacterium. RNAcentral's name for it is "partial 16S ribosomal RNA". It matches the Rfam family "Bacterial small subunit ribosomal RNA", at positions 505 to 796 of the family's 1533-position model. The record is from RNAcentral.
GUGUCAGCAGCCGCGGUAAGACGAGGGGUCCAAGCGUUGUUCGGAAUCAUUGGGCGUAAAGCGGGUGUAGGUGGCUCUGUAAGUCAGGAGUGAAAGCCCUAGGCUUAACCUGGGAAGUGCUUUUGAUACUGCAGAGCUUGAAUGUGGGAGAGGAUGGUGGAAUUCCUGGUGUAGUGGUGAAAUACGUAGAUAUCAGGAGGAACUCCGGUGGCGAAGGCGGCCAUCUGGCCCAACAUUGACACUGAGACCCGAAAGCGUGGGGAUCAAACAGGAUUAGAUACCCCGGUAGUCC